GGAUUGCUUGAGCCCAGGAGUUCUGUAGUGUGUCAUACCAAUAGGGUAUCUGCACUAAUUUGGCAUCAAUAUGGUGACCUCCUGGGAGCAGGGGACCACCAGGUUGCCUAAGGAGUGAUGAACAACCCAGGUCAGAAACACAGCAGGUCAAAGCUACUCUACUGAUCAGUAGUGGGCUCACAACUGUGACUAGCCACUGCCCUCCAGCCUGGGCAGCAUAACGAGA
Molecule: signal recognition particle RNA, 226 nt
Filed under: Nomascus leucogenys (northern white-cheeked gibbon)
Lineage: Eukaryota; Metazoa; Chordata; Mammalia; Primates; Hylobatidae
Description: Metazoan signal recognition particle RNA
Rfam family: Metazoan signal recognition particle RNA
About the family: The signal recognition particle (SRP) is a universally conserved ribonucleoprotein. It is involved in the co-translational targeting of proteins to membranes.
Source: Rfam by way of RNAcentral